Molecule: ribosomal RNA, 207 nt
Filed under: uncultured bacterium
Lineage: Bacteria
Description: partial 16S ribosomal RNA
Rfam family: Bacterial small subunit ribosomal RNA
Source: RNAcentral
CUCAGUUCGGAUUGGAGUCUGCAACCCGACUCCAUGAAGCUGGAUUCGCUAGUAAUCGCGCAUCAGCCACGGCGCGGUGAAUACGUUCCCGGGCCUUGUACACACCGCCCGUCAAGCCAUGGAAGCCGGGAGUGCCUGAAGUACGCGACCGCAAGGAGCGUCCUAAGGUAAAAACCGGUGACUGGGGCUAAGUCGUAACAAGGUAUC